Molecule: long non-coding RNA, 932 nt
Filed under: Homo sapiens (human)
Lineage: Eukaryota; Metazoa; Chordata; Mammalia; Primates; Hominidae
Description: non-protein coding lnc-RPS17-1:2
Source: RNAcentral
CUCUUUUACCAAGGACCCGCCAACAUGGGCCGCGUUCGCACCAAAACCGUGAAGAAGGCGGCCCGGGUCAUCAUAGAAAAGUACUACACGCGCCUGGGCAACGACUUCCACACGAACAAGCGCGUGUGCGAGGAGAUCGCCAUUAUCCCCAGCAAAAAGCUCCGCAACAAGAUAGCAGGUUAUGUCACGCAUCUGAUGAAGCGAAUUCAGAGAGGCCCAGUAAGAGGUAUCUCCAUCAAGCUGCAGGAGGAGGAGAGAGAAAGGAGAGACAAUUAUGUUCCUGAGGUAAACUUUCUGGAUAUUUGGGCUUCUGGCUAAUCCUCAAAUGAUAAAGCUAUGGGUUCUUGGCUUCCAAAGGGACCUCAGCUGAAUCUGAGACCUUUAAUCCAUACAUUCCAUAACCAGCUGUGGGUGCCCAUAGGCCCCCUACCAGUUUCUUAGCCUCCAUUCUGCUCUUCUGGAACCAGUUAAGUCUAUUCCAUAUUUCAUGAGAGCCCUUAAUGUUGAUUUGAUGACUGCUGUCGUGGCUCGAUUGUUUGCCCCUAAUAUAGUAUUCUUUGGUGUAAACACAGACUUCAAGUGUUCUGAAUACUGAAUGAGGGCAUGGGAAGGUAAGGCCAGAAGAACAGGUCAUCGGGGUCUGUAAUACUGUAAGAGACUGCUCACCUUGUGAGAGGAAUGCUAUCCUUGUGCAGCUCCUCUUCCCCAUAUUUAAGAACCUGGGGAGAGGAGGAGGAGAGGUGAGUGAUAAUCUCAUUGAUUGGUAUUUUGACCCUACCUCGUUUCCUUGUAGGUCUCAGCCUUGGAUCAGGAGAUUAUUGAAGUAGAUCCUGACACUAAGGAAAUGCUGAAGCUUUUGGACUUCGGCAGUCUGUCCAACCUUCAGGUCACUCAGCCUACAGUUGGGAUGAAUUUCAAAACGCCUCGGGGAC